RNAcentral lists this small nuclear RNA (132 nucleotides) under Canis lupus familiaris (dog). Its description in RNAcentral is "U4 spliceosomal RNA (multiple genes)". It matches the Rfam family "U4 spliceosomal RNA". From Rfam's summary of the family: U4 small nuclear RNA (U4 snRNA) is a component of the major U2-dependent spliceosome. The structure of U4 snRNA from yeast and human has been reported. RNAcentral also lists the same sequence under 1 other name. The record is from Rfam by way of RNAcentral. Lineage: Eukaryota; Metazoa; Chordata; Mammalia; Carnivora; Canidae.
AGCUUUGCACCGUGGCAGUAUCGUAGCCAAUGAGGUUUAUCCAAGACGCGAUUAUUGCUAAUUGAAAAAGAUAAUUUGGCAGUGUAUAUCAAAAUGGCAAACCAGAAUACUUUUUAAAAAUAUUUGAGAGAG